This 191-nucleotide ribosomal RNA is filed under the name Squalidus chankaensis tsuchigae. RNAcentral describes it as "partial large subunit ribosomal RNA". Lineage: Eukaryota; Metazoa; Chordata; Actinopteri; Cypriniformes; Gobionidae. The record is from RNAcentral.
CUUAGCCAUCAAUAUAACCCAACAAUGUUUAUAACAAGACAUAGCCUAACACCAAAAACUAAACCAUUUUUUUACCUGAGUAUGGGAGACAGAAAAGGUUCGACCAAAGCAAUAGAAAAAGUACCGCAGGGGAAAGCUGAAAGAGAAGUGAAACAACCCAUAUAAGCAAUAAAAAACAAAGACUAAACCUU